AGUGAACGCUGGCGGUAGGCCUAACACAUGCGAGUCGAACGGCAGCACAGUAAGAGCUUGCUCUUACGGGUGGCGAGUGGCGGACGGGUGAGGAAUACAUCGGAAUCUACUUUUUCGUGGGGGAUACCGUAGGGAAACUUACGCUAAUACCGCAUACGACCUACGGGUGAAAGCAGGGGAUCUUCGGACCUUGCGCGAUUGAAUGAGCCGAUGUCGGAUUAGCUAGUUGGCGGGGUAAAGGCCCACCAAGGCGACGAUCCGUAGCUGGUCUGAGAGGAUGAUCAGCCACACUGGAACUGAGACACGGUCCAGACUCCUACGGGAGGCAGCAGUGGGGAAUAUUGGACAAUGGGCGCAAGCCUGAUCCAGCCAUACCGCGUGGGUGAAGAAGGCCUUCGGGUUGUAAAGCCCUUUUGUUGGGAAAGAAAAGCAGCAGGUUAAUACCCCGCUGUUCUGACGGUACCCAAAGAAUAAGCACCGGCUAACUUCGUG
This 492-nucleotide ribosomal RNA is filed under the name uncultured bacterium. RNAcentral's name for it is "partial 16S ribosomal RNA". It matches the Rfam family "Bacterial small subunit ribosomal RNA", at positions 29 to 507 of the family's 1533-position model. The record is from RNAcentral.